This 253-nucleotide ribosomal RNA is filed under the name uncultured bacterium. RNAcentral describes it as "partial 16S ribosomal RNA". It matches the Rfam family "Bacterial small subunit ribosomal RNA", at positions 524 to 776 of the family's 1533-position model. The record is from RNAcentral.
UACGAAGGGUGCAAGCGUUAAUCGGAAUUACUGGGCGUAAAGCGCGCGUAGGUGGUUCAGUAAGUUGGAAGUGAAAUCCCCGGGCUCAACCUGGGAACUGCUUUCAAAACUGCUGAGCUAGAGUACGGUAGAGGGUGGUGGAAUUUCCUGUGUAGCGGUGAAAUGCGUAGAUAUAGGAAGGAACACCAGUAGCGAAGGCGACCACCUGGACUGAUACUGACACUGAGGUGCGAAAGCGUGGGGAGCAAACAGG